UACGGGGGGAGCAAGCGUUGUUCGGAUUUACUGGGCGUAAAGGGCGCGUAGGCGGUCGUGACAAGUCACUUGUGAAAUCUCCGGGCUUAACUCGGAACGGCCAAGUGAAACUGUCAAGCUAGAGUGCAGAAGGGGCAAUCGGAAUUCUUGGUGUAGCGGUGAAAUGCGUAGAUAUCAAGAGGAACACCUGAGGUGAAGACGGGUUGCGUGGGCUGACACGUGACGCUGAGGCGCGAAAGCCAGGGGAGCAAACGGG
RNAcentral lists this ribosomal RNA (256 nucleotides) under uncultured bacterium. RNAcentral describes it as "partial 16S ribosomal RNA". It matches the Rfam family "Bacterial small subunit ribosomal RNA", at positions 524 to 776 of the family's 1533-position model. The record is from RNAcentral.